AUUCAAUUAUGGUUACAGUGGCAUCUUUCUUCCAAAGAAACAGAUCUUCAUGAAUACAUAUUUUAAACUUAUUUAUGAAUUUACUUCACAUACUCUUCCAAAUAACAGCUGACAGUAACAACCAGAAAGAACAUGAGAUAAUAGCUUAGGAAUGAUAAUACAUUUCUCAGAUCUGAGCAAAUCCAAAGACGAUUUGCUAGUAAAACCCUCAAAGGAAAUGAUAUGUGUGGGAUAGAAGAAGGUGAAAAUACUUAAUAGCAUAUUUAUGUUUGACUCUUCCAAAAAUGUUUGAAAUUUAGACGAAACAGUAUUCUAUCUCCCAUGACUUCCUACCAGCCUUCCAAUGCUUAUAUUAUUAAAGAUAAAACCUCCCUACUAGAAAUACCUUUAAAAAUAUUAAUUACAUAUAUCAUCCCACAUGACCUCCUAGGUAGGAAGUUUCAUGCAUUCAGGGUUUCUAAUAACGUGGACACUGGAAGUCACUGGUGGAUAGGUUAAAAGCUGGUCAUUUAAGGGACAUCAUCUCAACAAAAAUGCCCAAGAGAGGACACUUGGGGAGUUCAGGGGAAAGUUUCUCAAAGUUAUGAAGAUAUUUAGGGUCCACCAGCAUUUUCCAGGACGAUUCUUAUAGAAAAACAAAAUUUGGGGUAUGAAAUGGGUCAAAGGGGGAAACUUAAAAUGUUCCUGGACCAAGCGGGCCUGGUCUUCUCUGGCUCGGAGCUUGGCUGGCACUUUAUUGUCCCCCAGGUUGUCUCCAGAGCUGCUUCAGAGUGUGCGCUUCAUGGCUGGGGCUCCACCAGCUCCAUCCUUCCUUUUCUUGUGCAAGAAAGACUGCACAGAGGGGCCUCAGGCCUCCUGGCCCCCCAGUUGUAUACCAUCUUUUGGUGGUGUGAGUGUUCAUGCUUGGGGGGGGGGGGUAGGUGGGAAGGGCUUGGGAAAGAAGAAAAGAGAAAGAGGAGAGGAUGUCUGCUUCCCCGAGACACACUUGCAGAGGAUACUUUGACACAAAGAACGGGACACACCUAUGAGCAAGAAGGAGGCCAAUCUGGGCAAAACCCCCACGUGUGGAGCUUCCCUUCCUGAACCUCUGUUCCUAGGUACCAUUCCCUAGCCACCCCCCCCCCCCAUUUCAGAGCACCUCCCGAUGCCCUCAUGCUGAUGAAGGCUUCCAAGAGGUAUCUUCCAUGCCACCUAGUCCAUGUUCUGGGGCUCCCUCUGUGUCCAGGUCCAGUGGGAACCCACAUGGCCUGUGGGCCACUCUCGGGAAUAACUGAGUGACUGCUGGGCUAAUCAUAGCUCCUAAUUUGACCUAGGAUGGUUGCUAAUUGACAGGAUAGGUGAACUUAAUCUGUUCCAUAGGGAGUAUUUACUCUUAAUAAGGGACCAUCAGUGCAUUAACCCAAAGCUCCUAGGAGAGCUCCACACUCGGUAGAGGAUGGGGUGUGGAAGUUGUCCAGGGGAAGCUUCCAUCUCAAUCACUUUGAAGGAAAGUAGGUUCAACAUCCCUGCUCCUUGUCAGAUGCAGCCAGUGGCAGAACUAAGUUUAGCAAGGCCUUCAGCAUCCUUCCAUCGGUGUUAGGCUUCUCGGGCUGCCAUCCCCAAACAUUACACACUGGGUGGUUUCAACACGGGAAAUUUAUUUCUCACUGUGCUGGAGGCUGGAAGUCCAAGAUCCAGGUAUCCAAAGAUUUGGUUUCUCCUGAGGCCUCUCUCCUUGCCUCACAGAUGGCCUUGGCUCUGUGCGUGUACAUCCCUGGUAUCUCUGUAUUGAAAAUUUCCUCUUAAAAGUAUAUCAGUCAGAUUGCAUUAAGGGCCACCCUAAUAUCUGAUCUCACGUUAGCUUAAUCACAUCUUUAAUGGCCCUGUCUCCAAAUGGAGUCACAUUUUGAUGUACUGAGGGUAAGACCUUCAACAUAUGCAUUUUAGAGGGGCUCAAUUCAGCCCAUAACGCCAUCCAUGGCCAUCUGCGCCCAUCCCACCUUGAGUAGCACUAGGGUUCAUUAGCUGGAGCCACAUUCGUUUCUGACACUGCAAUAUAUCCUUUAGUUUGGGGACAGAAGAUCUUGGAAGAAACUCUAGAUUUUCCCUCAAUGUUAACAAAAAUGAGGGCAGCUUCAUUCAAGCCAAAAAAAAAAAAAUACCUAAUGUUUAGUAGGGCAUUAUAUUCCCUCCGUUAACACUUUUCAGUGUUGGUUAUGAUCAAAGGUUCAAUUUGGCCACCCUGAUACGGUUGAUUCAACUGUAAAAGGACUUUCAACCUGGCCUGGUCUGUAAGCUCUCUAGGCAAAAAGACCCUUAGAUAUGAAGCAAGCACAUUUGAGAAAAGGAAUGUUGUCCUGAGCCCCAAGUGACUUCUUCCACUCCAUUCCCGCUGCCUCCCAGGCCAUCAGCAGGCCCAGAGGACGUCUUCCUCCAAGGAGGCAGGUGUGUUGCUCCCGCUCCACGCAAUAGAUGCACCAUGGCACCCUCGACGUCGUUUAUCGCAGGAAAGUUUCACAGGUGUCAGUUAAGCCCCAUUUCCCUGGUUUCACAGAAGAGAAAAGCUGCAGUGGUCAUGUCUAUGAGGCAGAUGUGCCUGGGCCCCAAGGUGGAGGUUUAGUAUAUGUGCAUUCGGCUUUGGCCACAGGAGAAUUACCAUAAAAAUGGAAAAUUUGAGUCUGAUCUUGUCUUUCAUCAGCGACUGCGCCACACGGCCAGCAAAAGCAUCAUCACCACGGCAGUGAGGGAGUAGGAAAGCACCCAUGGUCAUUGUGCAAGCUGAAGACAGGGUGACAUUAUCUCUAAUGCUGAGUUAAGCGGUUUGUCUAAGGUCACUUAGCAAGUGUGUAGUAAAUCCAGGAUUAGAACCUUGGCACCUAGUCGGCAGUCUGUAUGCUGGGCUGGGGACAGACAGACUUGCUGAUCUCGUGACGUAACCUCCUUCUCACCCUCUCCUCCUUAACCCUGUGCAGCCUCUGCCCUGAGCCCCUGUGUCCAGCUCAUCCUGUUACAGGGCUGGCACCUCCUGCCUGACCUGCAGCUGUUAGGAGCUCCCCAGUCCUGCCCCGCCUCCCUCCUGCCUUUUCUUUUUUCCUCUCUUUUCACUUAUUCUCUAAGCAAACAUUUGUGGAGGACCAUUGUAAGAAAUGGGCAAUGUCUUGUGCCAUGGGGGAAGCUAAGAUAAAUUUGAAAGGUGUCUACAUAAAUAUCUAAGAUCUAAGUGUCUAAGGUAAAUUAGACAGUUAGGUGAAACGUACACAAACACCUGAUUAUUCUGCAGUACAGACAGGGACAUGCCCGAGAUUCAGCUGUUCUUUCUCAGCUUCGAAUCCCCCCUCCUUCCUCGGGCUGUGUGAGGCUUUGCCCUGCAAACCCCGAGUCUGCAUUGCCACUUCUGUUCCUUAGACUCCACCAAAAGUGGGUACCAGGGGGAGCCUGCCAGGCGGGAGGAGGGAGGUGGCCCUGCCCACCCUGUCGGGAUCGCUCCCUGUGACUCAUGAUCUGCCCAGCGCACACUUCACCCGGUGCCUCCCAGGAUGCCUCUGAGGUGCCUUCUGAUUCUCUUUUUGCCUUUUCAGUUAACUAGUUGAAAAUUCUUUAAACUGUACUUAUUUGCUAGGGCGACUGUUACAGAGCACCCAGAAAUUUAUUGUCUCACAGUUCUGGAGGAUGGAAGUCCAAGAUCGAGGUGUCCAGGUGUUAGCAGGGCCAGUUCCCACUGAGGCUAUGAAGAGAGUCAGCUCUGUGCCUCUCUUCUACCUUCCAGAGGUUUCUGGCCAUUUUUGGCUUUCUUUGUCUUAUACGCGCAUCACCUUCAUCUCUGCCUUCACCUUCCUGCGGUGUUCUCUCAGUGCGUGUUUCUGUGUCCACGUUUCCCCUUUUUUACAAGGACGCUAGCCAUAUUGGAUUGGCAUCUACCUACUCUAGUAGGACCUCAUCUUAAUAAGCAUACGAAUCUUGUGGGGGACACAAUUCAAUCCAUAACAAUAUCUUAUUAAGACUUCUGCAUAUUAAUUUUUAUCUGUUCACAUAACUGUGUAGUUUCUACCCUCACACUUGACCUGGACUGAUACCAGGGACCCCGCCUUUAGGAACCAAAGGAGGAAGCCAUUCCUUCUAUCAAUGAGGAAAGGGUGACCUGUCACUGGGACCAGGCUUGGAAAGAUGACUUGAGUUGGGGUAGAUAGAGAACAUGAGCAAAGGGCGCUCUGAAAUCAACCGUGAGCACGCUGGCGAGCAUUCAUGAGGGACACAGUGGGAUGCUGGGGCUCAAUCAGAGUGGAUUUCAGUAGCAGGAGAUGAGUUUGGGCUUUAUUCUCUGGGCAAUGAGGAGAUAUGUAGGCAUGUGAGGAGGAGCAGACAAGACGAGAUGUGUCUAUAGACUGUCAAAAACUGAUUGAGGUCAGAGCUGUGGGACCAGAAUCAUCUCAACAAAGGUGACUUUGAGGGUGUGCUCAAGUCCUGGUGUGGUGGGAGUGAUGAGCCUCUGCACGCCGGGACUUCUCCUGGCACUUGAGUGAUUCUGUGGGUAGAUGAGGAGGAUUGUCAGCCUCCUGCCACCUUCCUGUUCCUUGGGGUCCUGCUCGGGAGCACCAGGAGCAUAAGGGUAGCCCAACUCGGGAGGACCCUGGGGCCCUUCUCCUUGUCCUUUAGGCAGAAUAGUUCAACUUCCCUCAUUUUACAUCUUGAAUUUCCAGACAAGGUUUUGUUUCAACAAAGGGUUUUGUGCCUAAAUAUGAACUUGAAGCAUCAUUGACGUCCGUGAUUGUCAGGAUUCUGCUUCUGUCAUCUUCAAGUGAUUUGAUGAUGCGUAAACCUCCAAUCGUUUGUGAAAUGGGGCAUAUUAACACAUCCCCUUUCUCUGGUCAGAUGAGAUGGGUUUUUAUACAUGUCCAGAAUAUACAGUCAUAUCUCUUAUGACAGAAAAUUUCAGUAUUUGGUUGAUUCUUUAUGAGGUGUAAAAUGUUAAACAGAAAUCUGGAAUGACAGAAAUGUAGGGAAGAAUAAUGCUAUCAAAUAAAAGCAAUUAAUAUUAUUAAUAUGGAUAAAAUAAUUUACUUGCAAGGCUUCCCUUGGCAUCAAAACAUUCAGGUCAUAACACAAAGACCAAGUUAAUAGUUUCAUCACGAGGGAAGACAAAGCCAGUGGUUAUAAAGUAGAAUAACAAUCCUUCUGUGUUAUAUCACAGAAUUCCUGAUUGACAUGUGAAGGAGAAAUAGUUCAAUAUCACAGGGAAAAGAUGAUGCUUCUAUCUAGAUAGUUUCCUCACUAAUUCCAUAAUGCAUAAUAUAUGCAAAACAUGUCAUCGAUUCUCAUCUACCACACAGCAGACUCAAUGUCAAUUAAUACAUUUUAUCAGCACCCUUUGGUACCUUCACUUGGGAAUAAACUCUGUCAUGCUUCCAGUAGUCAGCUCGGUUUUCUCUGUGCACGGGAAGGAGAGAAAUAUGCUUGUGCUGUAGUUUUGUUACCAGUUGGGUGGUUGAAAGGCUCAUCAAAUCUGUAGUCAAUUUCUGGGCAGCUCGCACCUAACUUGAUUAUAUCACUCCAUAACCAGGUUAUAGGAAGUUAAACAAAGCCCCAUUAAAACCCUGGCAUUAACUCUUAUCCCUUCAGGAAGAUUUAGACUCUUAUCAGAAGAGACGGGAUUUUGUAGAGCAGUGCCCAUGUGUAAAUCUAUCUGUCCAUGCAUGGAGAUCUCUGUCAUGGCACAGGACAAGAACCUCGACUUUCCAGGAAUCCAAAACAAAGUUAAUCUGAUCAACAAGGAUCAAUAGAAAAGUACUUCUCCUCUCUUGGGAUGUGGUGUCCUAAGAGGGAAAGACGAAACAGGCGAAGACUCAGACACACUCGCCCUCCUCGUUCCUGACUCAAGAUGACAGAUCACUAGCAGGGACCAGGGGCCUACACUGGCACUUGUUCAACGGGUGGUACCAUGUGUCCUGACUUCACGUGGUGGAGGCGAAGAUGCCUAUGCCGUGAGACAGCGAGCGUCCAGCGUGGGCCAGGCUUGCUAGGGUCCACUCUGUGGGCACUUCCUCAGCAGCAGGCUCCCACCGUCCUCUCCAGUGGCUGGGUUUCGGGUCCUCUCCCUACAGGAGCUGGUCCCAGGCCAGGAAGUCAGAGAUUCCCCAUGCAAGAAGGAUUUGGCCUCAGGAAGAUUCUGCUGCUGAAAUGGAGGGCCUGCGUGGAAAGGAGCUGAGAGUGGCCCCCAGGGACAACCAGUGAGGAAGUGGGGGCUUCAGUUCUGCAGCUGCAGGAAUGGAACUGGGGAGUGUGGAGAGUGAGUUUGGAAGCCAGUUUCUCGCCUGAGCCUGCUUUGUCUCCGGAUGCGAUGCAACAGUACGAUGGGUUGAGGAGACAACAUGGCUCAGUCAAACCCACAGAGAAGUGUAAAUUGUGGCAUCUUCUUCGUGGCCCAGGAAGAUUUGUGCAUGCAUCUUCAGACCAGAACCAACAACAAAGGGCAUUUUGCUUGAAAUUCCCAUAAAAAUUCACCCCUAGUUCGACACGGGAAUUUUAACACCUCAAGGCUAGUUCUUGGCAAAGACGCGAGCUCCUGAAGCGGAGGAGAAUUUGGGGUGUCCUCAGUGAUGAUGCUGGCGACAGCCAACUGCGGGAUAGCGAGUGGAGCUCUCGCAGGGUGGGCAGCCGUGGGACUGGAGGGCUGAAGCCGCUGGUGCUGGCAGCGGUUGACGCCACGCGAGUUCUCAGAGGGACGCCUGCACCUGCUGCCUUCUGCAGGGAGGCCCCCUCCACCCAACCCUGAAAUACUCUGAUGUUGGCGCUCCCGUGCUGCUUGCUUGCUGGCUGUGGACCACAGGAGGGGAGUCUGGGUCUGUGUUUCAGCUUGCCUCAAAUCUACCCUCUCGUGCUUGACAGUAUCUGCUUUCUGGGCAGCCAGCUGCAGAGAUGGGCAGCACCAGACUCCAGAAUCCACUUUUCCAAACUUCUCGU
Molecule: long non-coding RNA, 6936 nt
Filed under: Equus caballus (horse)
Lineage: Eukaryota; Metazoa; Chordata; Mammalia; Perissodactyla; Equidae
Description: lncRNA (ENSECAG00000054933.1)
Source: RNAcentral